GCCCGCGUACGCAUCUGGUGAAGCGACCGGAUUGUCGAUCCGGCGAGGAGGGUUCGAUCCCCUUCGCGGGCG
This 72-nucleotide transfer RNA is filed under the name Myxococcales bacterium. RNAcentral describes it as "tRNA-Asp". It matches the Rfam family "tRNA". Rfam says of the family: Transfer RNA (tRNA) molecules are approximately 80 nucleotides in length. Their secondary structure includes four short double-helical elements and three loops (D, anti-codon, and T loops). RNAcentral also lists the same sequence under 2 other names. The record is from RNAcentral. Lineage: Bacteria; Pseudomonadati; Myxococcota; Myxococcia; Myxococcales.